Oryza rufipogon (brownbeard rice) is the source of this 205-nucleotide microRNA precursor. It matches the Rfam family "MIR812 microRNA precursor family". The record is from Rfam. NCBI's taxonomy places the organism in Eukaryota, Viridiplantae, Streptophyta, Magnoliopsida, Poales, Poaceae.
AAAAAGACAAACCCUGGGUUUCCGUGUCCAACUUUAACUAUCCGUCUUAUAUGAAUUUUUUUUAUAAUUCGUAUUUUUAUUGUUGUUAGAUGAUAAAAUAUGAUUAAUAUUUUAUGCGUGACUUGUCUUCUAAAUUUUUUUCAUAAUUUUUUCAAAUAAGACGGACGGUCAAACGUUCGACACGGAAACCAGGGUUUGUCUUUUU